Molecule: unclassified non-coding RNA, 331 nt
Filed under: soil metagenome
Description: partial contains 5.8S ribosomal RNA, internal transcribed spacer 2, and large subunit ribosomal RNA
Rfam family: 5.8S ribosomal RNA (bases 1-120)
Source: RNAcentral
GAUGAAGAACGUAGCGAAAUGCGAUAAGUAAUGUGAAUUGCAGAAUUCAGUGAAUCAUCGAAUCUUUGAACGCACAUUGCGCCCGCUAGUAUUCUGGCGGGCAUGCCUGUUCGAGCGUCAUUUCAACCAUCAAGCCCCAGGCUUGCGUUGGGGGCCUGCGGCUGCCGCAGCCCCUGAAAAGCAGUGGCGGGCUCGCUGUCAUUCCGAGCGUAGUAGUUACAUCUCGCUCCGGGCGUGGCGGUGGGCACCUGCCGUGAAACACUCUAUCUAAGGUUGACCUCGGAUCAGGUAGGAAUACUCGCUGAACUUAAGCAUAUCAAUAAGCGGAGGA